CUCUUUUGGUGUUUUUUGUGGGUGAGCCUAGCAUAACGGUUUAGACAUGUGGUAUUUGGUGUUUGGAGGACAGGAAAAGGAAGAAGAGGCUUCAAAGAUGGCAGCAGAGGGGCAGCCUGACAAAAUGGCAUCCAAUAUGGAAGUGCAUAUGAAAAAAAGAUGUCAUUGAACUUCUUCCUGCUGAAAAAAUUCCACCCACUGACAUUCAUCAACAAUUGCUGAAUGUUUAUUGAGACCAAACAGUGGAGGUGAGCACAGUGACGUGGUGGUGAUGUGUUUCAGCAGUCGCAGCGGCAACACUGGGUCACCUUCAUUGGUGCAGAUUCUUAUAAUUAUGGCAUGCAGGCUCUUGUUCAUCACUGGUGAAACUACAUAGCCGAUGGUUAUGGUGACUACUGUAGCUGAGAAUUUGCUUUAUCUAAUAGUGUUAUUUUGCUCUUUGUAUCUUUUGUAGUUUCCAUGGAAAUAAAUAUGAGGCAUUA
Lagopus muta (rock ptarmigan) is the source of this 482-nucleotide long non-coding RNA. RefSeq lists it as uncharacterized. The record is from RefSeq and is a predicted model, not a curated record. NCBI's taxonomy places the organism in Eukaryota, Metazoa, Chordata, Aves, Galliformes, Phasianidae. The transcript has 3 exons.